GAGGGCUGCCUCGGGCACCCUCUGUGCCCACAGCGUGCAUGGCCGGCAGGGUGCGAGGGACUGCAGCAGGCAGAGGAGAGGCAGGAGGACUCAGUACAGUGGGACCUGUCCAUCUCGUGAUGCACAGAACUUUUUUCCAUGCUGCUGUGUGGGUGGUUGUAGCAGGGAGAAGUGCUGGUUGGAAUCCCUGAGCUUCUAAUGCUGACAAAAUGCACUGCUGACUAAAAUCUCCUGCGUGUGAGUCUUGUCCCUUCCACCACAAAGGACUGGUCACAUUUUCCAUUCUUGACUCCAUGUGGCUGCUCUGAACAUCCCAGGUUAUGUCUGCACCCACCAGCUGCCUUUCCUACUGCUUGGCUCUCCAGGCCUUCAUCUCUGCUCAGUUCC
This 387-nucleotide long non-coding RNA is filed under the name Zonotrichia albicollis (white-throated sparrow). RNAcentral describes it as "lncRNA (ENSZALG00000015876.1)". The record is from RNAcentral. Lineage: Eukaryota; Metazoa; Chordata; Aves; Passeriformes; Passerellidae.